UGACGGAGCAACGCCGCGUGAGUGAUGAAGGUUUUCGGNUCGUAAAACUCUGUUGUUAGGGAAGAACAAGUNCCGUUNGAAUAGGGCGGNNCCUUGACGGUACCUAACCAGAAAGCCACGGCUAACUACGUGCCAGCAGCCGCGGUAAUACGUAGGUGGCAAGCGUUGUCCGGAAUUAUUGGGCGUAAAGCGCGCGCAGGCGGUUUNUUAAGUNUGAUGUGAAAGCCCCCGGCUCAACCGGGGAGGGUCAUUGGAAACUGGGGAACUUGAGUGCAGAAGAGGAGAGUGGAAUUCCACGUGUAGCGGUGAAAUGCGUAGAGAUGUGGAGGAACNCCAGUGGCGAAGGCGACUNUNUG
This 356-nucleotide ribosomal RNA is filed under the name Bacillus sp. (in: firmicutes). Its description in RNAcentral is "Bacillus sp. (in: Bacteria) partial 16S ribosomal RNA". It matches the Rfam family "Bacterial small subunit ribosomal RNA", at positions 384 to 731 of the family's 1533-position model. Lineage: Bacteria; Bacillati; Bacillota; Bacilli; Caryophanales; Bacillaceae. The record is from RNAcentral.